AAACAUUCAAUAUAGUAUGAAUACGGAAGAAAAAUUCGUGUACCGUAAAUUUACAUAUAAAAGUCCGUUUAUGCGAAGAGGUGUGGAGCUAAUAUUGAAGGAGCAAGGGUACAACUGCACACACGAAAAUAUGUAUUCAAGAAGGUGAGAAUGGAAUUACUAUUAUACGACUAAUAAACAAAGUUUUCUAUUCCUUUAAACUUCUAAAUCUUGGAAAAUG
Non-coding RNA from Parasteatoda tepidariorum (common house spider), 220 nucleotides. The record is from RefSeq and is a predicted model, not a curated record. Lineage: Eukaryota; Metazoa; Arthropoda; Arachnida; Araneae; Theridiidae.